RNAcentral lists this ribosomal RNA (484 nucleotides) under uncultured bacterium. RNAcentral describes it as "partial 16S ribosomal RNA". It matches the Rfam family "Bacterial small subunit ribosomal RNA", at positions 30 to 507 of the family's 1533-position model. The record is from RNAcentral.
AUUGAACGCUGGCGGCAGGCCUAACACAUGCAAGUCGAGCGGAUGAAGGGAGCUGGCGCCGGGACUCAGCGGCGGACGGGAGAGUAAGGCCUAGGAAUCUGCCUGGUAGUGGGGGAUAACGUCCGGAAACGGGCGCUAAUACCGCAUACGUCCUGAGGGAGAAAGUGGGGGAUCGUCGGACCUCACGCUAUCAGAUGAGCCUAGGUCGGAUUAGCUAGUUGGUGGGGUAAAGGCCUACCAAGGCGACGAUCCGUAACUGGUCUGAGAGGAUGAUCAGUCACACUGGAACUGAGACACGGUCCAGACUCCUACGGGAGGCAGCAGUGGGGAAUAUUGGACAAUGGGCGAAAGCCUGAUCCAGCCAUGCCGCGUGUGUGAAGAAGGUCUUCGGAUUGUAAAGCACUUUAAGUUGGGAGGAAGGGCAGUAAGUUAAUACCUUGCUGUUUUGACGUUACCAACAGAAUAAGCACCGGCUAACUUCGUG